Carica papaya (papaya) is the source of this 1493-nucleotide non-coding RNA. The record is from RefSeq and is a predicted model, not a curated record. NCBI's taxonomy places the organism in Eukaryota, Viridiplantae, Streptophyta, Magnoliopsida, Brassicales, Caricaceae.
AAUAUUAACAAAAAAAUAAAUCAAGAGUUUCUGUUAACACUUGACACCUUCAUGAAAAUAACCAGAAAUGACAAACCCUAAACCCAAUGAUUUGGAGACCGUAGUUAAUGGAGACUACAGGUGAGAGCUCUUCUUUGGUGUCAGAAACCGGGAGCUACAAGCCAGUCAUUGUUAAGAUUAAACGUAAAGCAAUCACAGUCUCCCCUCGAUGUUUUCUGGCUGGAAAUCAAUGAGAGGCCUUUAAAGCUAGCGUUUUUGGAUUCUGAAGAGCUAUCAACUUCCGGUUUAGUUAGAAGUGGAUUUUGAUUCUGAAUUUGCUCAGUUUCGUUUUUUCCUCCCUUAGAAGUUUUCCUGGGUUUUGAUUUUGAUUAACUGCUUACUCUGUAUCGACAAUUGAGAACUAAGAAAAUCCUGGUGCGACAUGUGGAGACUGUUAGAAUCUCUGAGGCUACUAUUGAUGUUCUGGAACAAUUUGUGGCGGUGUACCUCUUUGGAUGCAGCUGAAGGUAAAAGAAAGGAUGAGGAAAGCUCCUUCUCCUUCCUAUUCUAGCUGUCCGCAAAUAAUUCACCAGUGCUUAUUCUAACACGCUUUUGGGUCCAUCAUAUGUCCACAGCGACAAGGCCUGCUUUUGUGUAAAGCCAGAAAACUACAGAAGAGAUAUGUCUUUGGAGUAUCAAAGAAUCCUGUAUAUUACCUGCUUCUCCUGAGAGGGUUUACUCAAAAUUCAGCUGAAGAGAUUGAAUCUGAUAUCCAAGCUCACAACUAUAGACAAGGUUGUGCAUUAAGAUGUGCCAAGUGAACAUGUAUUUGAUUAUUAUACUGUGAUGGAUUUGAGCAUAGAAAAUGAGGACGCUUCUACUUCAUUUCCGCUUUAAGGGGUACAAGCUGAGGAUGAUGAUUUCUCCAAUUGCUCUGACGAUUCAGAAUAUGUAGCAAGGAUUCGGAUGCGGAUGAUAAUUCAAGAAAUUAUUAUCCACAGGGGAUGUCUGAAGAGGAAGAGGGAGAGAAAAGUGAGGCAUCUGAAGAAUCAGAAGAUGAGAGUUUGCAGGGUAUAUAUUCAGAACCUCAUGAGUUAAUACAUGAAGAUGAAAUGUACAAUGAUUACUCUCAUGAUGAUAAUUUGGCUUAUUGGACCAUUAUGAUGCUGAGUGUGAAUAUUUGUGGUGUCUGGGGGAAGUGGAAAUUUCUCUUUAAGCUGUGAAUGUUAUUGAUCACCCAAUUUAAGGGGCAGUUUUAGAGGUGCUCAUCUUCAAGGAACUGAACUACUGAAUCAUUUUAGAUGAAUUACUUGCAUGAUAGUUCUUCAGGUUGGGUGGGAAGGAACGUGAAGCUGCAACCUUUACUGUUAGUAUUUCCCUGCAAAAACAAGAAGUAACGAAUUUGAAGAAGACAGUAAUCGGGUCCUGAUAGUUUCUAUGCAGGGAGAAGUAAUUUGAUAAAAUAGUAUGCUUGAUGUGUCUAGCAAUCACUUAUGGGAAUAAAACAAGGAAAA